RNAcentral lists this ribosomal RNA (257 nucleotides) under uncultured Pseudomonas sp. RNAcentral's name for it is "partial 16S ribosomal RNA". It matches the Rfam family "Bacterial small subunit ribosomal RNA", at positions 96 to 354 of the family's 1533-position model. Lineage: Bacteria; Pseudomonadati; Pseudomonadota; Gammaproteobacteria; Pseudomonadales; Pseudomonadaceae. The record is from RNAcentral.
CGGCGGACGGGUGAGUAAUGCCUAGGAAUCUGCCUGGUAGUGGGGGACAACGUUUCGAAAGGAACGCUAAUACCGCAUACGUCCUACGGGAGAAAGCAGGGGACCUUCGGGCCUUGCGCUAUCAGAUGAGCCUAGGUCGGAUUAGCUGGUUGGUGAGGUAAUGGCUCACCAAGGCGACGAUCCGUAACUGGUCUGAGAGGAUGAUCAGUCACACUGGAACUGAGACACGGUCCAGACUCCUACGGGAGGCAGCAGGG